This 468-nucleotide ribosomal RNA is filed under the name uncultured bacterium. RNAcentral describes it as "partial 16S ribosomal RNA". It matches the Rfam family "Bacterial small subunit ribosomal RNA", at positions 28 to 507 of the family's 1533-position model. The record is from RNAcentral.
GACGAACGCUGGCGGCGUGCUUAACACAUGCAAGUCGAACGGAAAGACCCUGCUUUUGUGGGGUGCUCGAGUGGCGAACGGGUGAGUAACACGUGAGUAACCUGCCCUUGACUUUGGGAUAACUUCAGGAAACUGGGGCUAAUACCGGAUAGGAGCUCCUGCUGCAUGGUGGGGGUUGGAAAGUUUCGGCGGUUGGGGAUGGACUCGCGGCUUAUCAGCUUGUUGGUUGGGUAGUGGCUUACCAAGGCUUUGACGGGUAGCCGGCCUGGGAGGGUGACCGGCCACAUUGGGACUGAGAUACGACACAGACUACUACGGGAGGCAGCGGUGGAGAAUAUUGCACAAUGGGCGGAAGCCUGAUGCAGCAACGCCGCGUGCGGGAUGACGGCCUUCGGGUUGUAAACCGCUUUCGCCUGUGACGAAGCGUGAGUGACGGUAAUGGGUAAAGAAGCACCGGCUAACUACGUG